CGCGUGAGAAUCUAGCUUCAGGUCGGGGAUAACUACUGGAAACGGUGGCUAAUACCGGAUGUGCCGAAAGGUGAAAGGUUAACUGCCUGAAGAUGAGCUCGCGUCUGAUUAGCUAGUUGGUGUGGUAAGAGCGCACCAAGGCGUCGAUCAGUAGCUGGUCUGAGAGGAUGAUCAGCCACACUGGGACUGAGACACGGCCCAGACUCCUACGGGAGGCAGCAGUGGGGAAUUUUCCGCAAUGGGCGAAAGCCUGACGGAGCAAUACCGCGUGAGGGAGGAAGGCUCUUGGGUUGUAAACCUCUUUUCUCAAGGAAUAACAAAAUGAAGGUACUUGAGGAAUAAGCAUCGGCUAACUCCGUGCCAGCAGCCGCGGUAAUACGGAGGAUGCAAGCGUUAUCCGGAAUGAUUGGGCGUAAAGCGUCCGCAGGUGGCGAUGUAAGUCUGCUGUUAAAGAGUGAGGCUUAACCUCAUAAAAGCAGUGGAAACUACAUAGCUAGAGUACGUUCGGGGCAGAGGGAAUUCCUGGUGUAGCGGUGAAAUGCGUAGAGAUCAGGAAGAACACCGGUGGCGAAGGCGCUCUGCUAGGCCGUAACUGACACUGAGGGACGAAAGCUAGGGGAGCGAAUGGGAUUAG
Molecule: ribosomal RNA, 634 nt
Filed under: Nostoc sp. BACA0096
Lineage: Bacteria; Bacillati; Cyanobacteriota; Cyanophyceae; Nostocales; Nostocaceae
Description: bacterial SSU rRNA
Rfam family: Bacterial small subunit ribosomal RNA
Source: RNAcentral